RNAcentral lists this ribosomal RNA (258 nucleotides) under uncultured bacterium. RNAcentral's name for it is "partial 16S ribosomal RNA". It matches the Rfam family "Bacterial small subunit ribosomal RNA", at positions 96 to 354 of the family's 1533-position model. The record is from RNAcentral.
UGGCGGACGGGUGAGUAACACGUAGAGAACCUGCCUUACACAGGGGGAUAACACCUGGAAACAGGUGCUAAUACCGCAUAAGCGCACAGGGCCGCAUGGCCCGGUGUGAAAAACUCCGGUGGUGUAAGAUGGACCCGCGUCUGAUUAGCUUGUUGGCGGGGUAGGGGCCCACCAAGGCGACGAUCAGUAGCCGGCCUGAGAGGGUGGACGGCCACAUUGGGACUGAGACACGGCCCAAACUCCUACGGAAGGCAGCAG